RNAcentral lists this ribosomal RNA (547 nucleotides) under uncultured bacterium. Its description in RNAcentral is "partial 16S ribosomal RNA". It matches the Rfam family "Bacterial small subunit ribosomal RNA", at positions 355 to 895 of the family's 1533-position model. The record is from RNAcentral.
UGGGGAAUUUUGGACAAUGGGGGAAACCCUGAUCCAGCCAUCCCGCGUGUGCGAUGAAGGCCUUCGGGUUGUAAAGCACUUUUGGCAGGAAAGAAACGUCGCGGGUUAAUACCCCGCGAAACUGACGGUACCUGCAGAAUAAGCACCGGCUAACUACGUGCCAGCAGCCGCGGUAAUACGUAGGGUGCAAGCGUUAAUCGGAAUUACUGGGCGUAAAGCGUGCGCAGGCGGUUCGGAAAGAAAGAUGUGAAAUCCCAGAGCUUAACUUUGGAACUGCAUUUUUAACUACCGGGCUAGAGUGUGUCAGAGGGAGGUGGAAUUCCGCGUGUAGCAGUGAAAUGCGUAGAUAUGNGGAGGAACACCGAUGGCGAAGGCAGCCUCCUGGGAUAACACUGACGCUCAUGCACGAAAGCGUGGGGAGCAAACAGGAUUAGAUACCCUGGUAGUCCACGCCCUAAACGAUGUCAACUAGCUGUUGGGGCCUUCGGGCCUUGGUAGCGCAGCUAACGCGUGAAGUUGACCGCCUGGGGAGUACGGUCGCAAGAUU